AAGUGAGUGAAAUUAGGUAGCAAGUCACUUUUAAUUUUAACUCUAUUAUGAAGUUCAGCUUUAUCAUCCUAUCGGGCGGUGUAUGUGCUAAUAUUAUAGCCAACAAUCAUUUGGGAAAUCAAGAUGUGGUGGAUAAAACCAAAAGUUUGGUAUGUAUACCAACUACAAUAUUUAUAAUAGUUGUCCGAAAUUAUGUUUCCCGAACAGGAAAACCAAGCUUCUGGACGUAAUGAUGUUCAACCCAGAAUCUUUCCAUUUCUUAUUCCACUAUUUGCGGCGCUAGCGGGUGGUGUAAUAGGCGGGGCAACCCGCGCUGGAGUAUCUCAUGAACUUUCUAAAAAAAAUAAGAAAAAAUCAACCAAAAAACUAACAAGAAAACCAAAGAAAAAACCAACUCACACAGUCAAUAAGAAAAAUAACAAAAAGGUAUCUUCUGGGAAAGCAGCAACUCCUGCAGCUAAGAAAAAAAAUAACAAAAAGGUAUCUUCUGGCAAAACAGCAAUUCCUGCAGCUAAGGUGAAAAAUAACAUAAAGACAACUCCUGCAGUUAAUAAGAAAAAUAACAAAAAGGUACCUUCUGGAAAAAAGGCGACUCCUACAACUAAAAAGCAAAAUACCAAAAAAGUAUCUUCUAAUAAAAAGGCAAUACCUGUAGUUAAAAAGGAAAAUAACAAAAAGAAAAUUACCCAAGGAUCAAAAACCCCUGUAAUUAAUACAAAAAAUAACACGAAAGUUGUUUCUUCUCCCAAAUAAAGGCAAACUUUAAUUGUAACUGGCAUUAUAAAUAAAUAAAUUAAAGUUAUCAAAGAAUUAUUGUAAUAAAUUUUCUUAUUUCUUGUGCCUUGUGAGAUUCUUUUGAGCAUUAAUUAAUAAUUUCUACAGCUUUUUGUAAUACCAUAAUGAAUCAUUGGAAUAUUUAUUGAGCCAUUAUUUAAUUAUUUAUUUAAAAUAAGUUUAGACCUUAAAAAGAACUAUGUAUUUGUAUACAAUCAAAUGAAGCUUCCAAAUCAGCUCUAUUUACUUACAGUGUGCAUCAUAUUUACUUAUUUCGCGUUACAUUUAUCGUAUUUAAACAUGAUAAUUCGCAGAAAUGCACUUGCACCACCGCAAAAGAUAAACAAGCCGUUUAAGUUUAUACCAUUGAGAUCAGUUGUAUUAGCAGAUCCAUUUCCUAUAGUUCCUCUAGAAGCAGAUGAUUGUGUCACAUUUUGAUAAAUCGUGACCGGUCCAUGGAAUUGAGUUACAGGCCCAAUGAUAACAUCUUUUGAGUUUUCAACAUUUAUAGCAGUUGGUGUAAAACUAGCGUCACUAGAACAGCACAAAUCUUCUAAUUCCGUUACUGCACUAUCUUCAUUUUCACUUUUUAACACUACUUCAGAAUUGGGCAUUCCCAAAGGAAAUACGUGAAACGCUGAAUUAUCAGACGCACUGAUUAAGGUCAUUUAGUCGCAUUAUAACUAAUUUUGUAAGUGUUCUUACAUUUUUAUUUAAUAAAACUUUGUAAAUGUAUCAUGUUUCACAAGACACGAUAAUAAUUGGGUACCACAUUCUCGUACUAGCAACAAAUUGUUAAUUUAGUUAACAUUGAGCGCCAGUGAGUGUUUAUGGUGGGGAAAACCAUAAUGUGUGCAAUCUCAAUGCACAUAUUUUGUCUGAUGAUCUAGUGUUAUUUUUUUUUAUUUUUUAAUCUAAAAUUUUCCAAUCCGUGCUUAAAAUUUGAGACAAACGAAAAAGGAGUAAAUAAAUUUAAUUUUGAGUUUUGUUUUGUUUUUAUUUUGUAUUAGUGUAUUGUAUUAGUGGCGCUAUCUAUACCUGAAUACCUUUUACUUCGAUAAGAUCGCUACAUUAUUAAUUAUUAUUUAGAUUAAAUUUCAACGUUUCUCUGAAAUCCAAUAAAUCUUUUAAGUUCAUUCACGUGGUUCACUUUUUGCCAGUAAAACCAAAAUUAAAACCGGAACUUUGUACUCAGUAAAUUACCGGUAAUAAUUUUCGAAUGUCGAACAAAAAGCCGCUAAUACGUACAACAAAAAAUAAUAGAAAAUUUGAUUGAGUGUAUUAAAACCUUGAAAACGUUAAUAAAUAAUUCAUCAAAUAUUACACUAGCAUUUGAUAAAAACUCAUGCAGGUAACAAGAAAAAUGACACUAAGUUUGAUAAAAAAAACUCAAAAUAAUAAGAAAAAAUUCCCUUUUCAACAAACUCUAGUUUAAUUGCAACAGGGGGUUUGAAUAUACACUGAGAUUUUUAUUUUAUUGAAUAUCACAUAACACCAUUAUUACCAUUAUGUUCAAUUUAAAAAAAUACAUAUCAAAGAAUUACUAGAAUUCUUAGAUCUUCUGUAUUAUAUGGUAAAGAGUUUAUUUCACUAAUCAUUACAUAACAAAUAUUACACAUAAUAUUGUUAAUUGUACUAUCUUUUGUUGAGUUUUAAUAAGUCCAUGUCAUGCACUGCAAACAGUUCCAUAGAAACAACAAUGUUCAGCAAAAUAAAAUUUUCAGUGUAUAAUAGUCACGACUUUAAAUUUCAUAAUAUUUUUUUCGUUUUAUACUGCAAUGAUCAACAUAUUAUAAUAAAAUAAUUCAAAUUUGAAUUUUUUUUGUAAUAAAAAAAUUUGAAAUUCUCGUGAAUGUCAAUAAUUUAUAACACUUUCGAUUUGCUGGCACGUAUCACACUAUUUAUUAUUGGGUUUUUUAUGUUUACGAACAUAUUUAUUAGUAUUAGUGCAACAAAAAAUAUUUAUAACUUAUUUUUGACAGAAUAAUAAGUUACACCAUAUUUAAUACUUAAGCACAAACUUUAUAAAAGCUCCACCAUGAAGUUCAACAUUAUCAUCCUGUCGGUCGGUGUUUGUGCUACUAUUAUAGACAGUAGACAUUUGGCAAAUCAAAAUAUAGCGGAUAAUGUAAGAAGUUAAUAAUUUACACAUUAAUUAUUUCUAAUGUGUUACUAUCUUUUAGACAAAAAACGUGGAAAAUCGAGCUUCAGGACGUAAGGAUGUUCAAUCCAGAGAUUGAUGGUUUUGCCAUUGAUUACUACUGGGUUGGCCACGGCUGGUGCGGCUAGUGCUUUUGGUGUGGCUAGUGCAGCUAGUGCAGCUGGUGCGGCUGCUGCAGUUGAUAUGGCUGCUGCACACAGCCCGAAUCCGUCGCAAUCUGAGCGUCCUAGUGCAGCUGGUGCGGCUGCUGCACAAAGCGCGUAUCUGUCGCAUUCUGAGCGUCCUAGUGCAGCUGGUGCGGCUGCUGCACUUGAUAUGGCUGCUGCACAAAGCGUAGAUAUGUCGCAAUAUAAGAAAGUGUCUUCAACCGAAAAGUAUGAAACUCCAACAGAUGAUUUAUGUUGUUGUUUAUAAACUACAAUAAUUUCAAUAAUUUCUAGUAAUAAAAUAAUUUGUACUUGGAAA
Molecule: RNA transcript, 3400 nt
Organism: Tribolium castaneum (red flour beetle)
Lineage: Eukaryota; Metazoa; Arthropoda; Insecta; Coleoptera; Tenebrionidae
Exons: 8
Source: RefSeq, a predicted model, not a curated record